Molecule: non-coding RNA, 268 nt
Organism: Arachis ipaensis
Lineage: Eukaryota; Viridiplantae; Streptophyta; Magnoliopsida; Fabales; Fabaceae
Source: RefSeq, a predicted model, not a curated record
GAUCUCGGGUCGAGACGAAAGAAUUUCUGAGAGGCGUUUGGGUUAUGAUCUUUUCUUUUUUAGGUUACGGACGACGAAGUUUGGAAGAGCUUAUUUCUUUUCUGUUAGACGAUGUUUUUGUAUUAUUUUAGUAUUUAUGUUUCUCUCGCCUUUAACUUUGCAAGUUUUGUAAGAGGGAUAGGAUUUUGAUAUGAGAUGCUUGUAAAUUAAUAUAUAUAUAUAUAUAUAUAUGUAUGUAUAUAUGUAUUUCCUGUGAGUAUUGUAAUUU